GUUUAAUACGCCUUAUCUGUGACGUUACCUACAGAAGAAGGACCGGCUAACUCCGUGCCAGCAGCCGCGGUAAUACGGAGGGUCCGAGCGUUAAUCGGAAUUACUGGGCGUAAAGCGUGCGCAGGCGGUUUGUUAAGCGAGAUGUGAAAGCCCUGGGCUCAACCUAGGAAUAGCAUUUCGAACUGGCGAACUAGAGUCUUGUAGAGGGGGGUAGAAUUCCAGGUGUAGCGGUGAAAUGCGUAGAGAUCUGGAGGAAUACCGGUGGCGAAGGCGGCCCCCUGGACAAAGACUGACGCUCAUGCACGAAAGCGUGGGGAGCAAACAGGAUUAGAUACCCUGGUAGUCCACGCCGUAAACGAUGUCUACUCGGAGUUUGGUGUCUUGAACACUGGGCUCUCAAGCUAACGCAUUAAGUAGA
Molecule: ribosomal RNA, 418 nt
Filed under: Shewanella putrefaciens
Lineage: Bacteria; Pseudomonadati; Pseudomonadota; Gammaproteobacteria; Alteromonadales; Shewanellaceae
Description: bacterial SSU rRNA
Rfam family: Bacterial small subunit ribosomal RNA
Source: RNAcentral